Felis catus (domestic cat) is the source of this 1913-nucleotide long non-coding RNA. RefSeq lists it as uncharacterized. The record is from RefSeq and is a predicted model, not a curated record. Lineage: Eukaryota; Metazoa; Chordata; Mammalia; Carnivora; Felidae. The transcript has 2 exons.
GCUUCGGAUUCUGUGUCUCCCUCUCUCUCUGCCCCUCCCCCGCUCGCGCUCUGUCUCUCUGUCUCUCUCUCUCUUAAAAAAUAAACAUUAAAAAUGAAAAAGAAAAAAAAAAACAAUUGAAAGGGAAAUGAGCCAAGAACAUAGCCAGAGUCCAGUUAGGCACAGUGCAAGGUCAAGAUCCCAGGCCCGUCAUCCGCUCUCAGUUUCCCUGGCAACGAGGCCCCCCACUUACCCCAAAGGAAGUAAGCGAUGUUGACCAGCAGGGCAAACGGCCAAAGGCCCAGGAAGCGUUUGGGAAGAGGGUGAAAGGCAGACCACAAGUCAGGCCACCAAUGGGGAGAAUUUGCGGAUGAAAGGACUGUCUGGGGCCUUGUGUGGCGGAGGGCUUCAGCUGCUCUGAACCGAGCUGCUCUGACCAAGGCUAAGCUUGGUCGGGUCGGAGUAGGUGAAACUUAUCAGUCUCGUUCUGUUUCUUGAUAUCAGUGCCCGCGGUGAAUCUCAUACAAGGAGAAGAUGAAGAAAACUUACUCUCUGUCUUGGCCGGGGCUGCCCUGGGGGAGCUGGCCUAGAUCCGCCCAGAGUGGGGUGUAGACCUGGAGAGAACCACUGGGAGCAGAAUAGGAGGACUCCGAUAAAAGGCAGAGCACCUUUCCCACCCAAGUUGGAGCGAUUCAGCUAAAGCAGCAGCAGCAGCAGGACGGGAGUGAGUGUGGCCGGUUUGGAGAUGCAGAAUCAUGAGUCCGCGAAGGCGGAUGGCCACUAGAUGCCGCCAGUGAGCCCCGCUGACAGCCGGCAAGGAAACGGGGACCUCAGUCCCCGUUGCAAGCAGGCAACCUGAGCGCGUCUGGAAGCGGGCUCUCCGGCAGGUAGGGACACGGCCUUAGGAGACCCAGUGCAGAGACCAGCCAGGCCUGCUGGCCUUCUGACCUACAGACGGUGAGAUAAUGAACUCGCAUGGCUUUAAGCCACUGAAUCUGCGGGGAUUUGUUUUGGUCGAAGCCAUCUCAGGUGGCGGACAGGUAAGCAGCCGGGGACCGGGCGCCGUGGGGUCAGCCUGUACCUGCCCAGCCUGCAGCCCCGGAAGGCAGGUCACGUGGGAGAGGCACCCCUCUGGCUUCCUCCUCCGCCCUCCACACCAGAUGUGGGCGAGCUCCCGCACCAGGGCGGGGAGGGAGAGCGGCUUGCUAUGUGCGCCUCAUUUCUUCUUGCUCCCUCCGCUCCCUCCGUUCCCCCUGCGAAAGGAAAAUACUGGUUUUCUUACAGUUGUCUGUGUGAUCUCACUUGGAGCGUGUCAACCCACUUGCACGCGGCGGUUUCACGCUCCCGGUCAAUAGCGCAGGCCUGCAGGGUGUGGGACUCGGGGCAGGGGCGGGGGGCGGGGGGCGCCAUCCGCCCUGAGCAGCGUCCGCCCCGCUCACACCCUCACCCCUCCUUCUCCUUCCUCCCGCGCCUUUUCUUUCGCGGCUCCCGCACCCUUUGCUCUUUGCUGCCAUCGUGUGGUGAUCGGGAGAAUUAACCUCGCGCGGGCGGGAAGCAGGAAAGUCCCAGGAACCGGUUAGGUGUGCUUUACGCCAGUGCAAAGUGCCUGGGGAGGGAGGUUCGUUUUGAAUCGCGAUCCAGGCAAUAAGGCCUCUUUAAACAAUCUGUUAUUUCCACAUCCCGUUCGUUAACUACUCACUAGGAGCAGAGAAGGGAAAGGCGACCAAUGGCUCCGAAACAGGCCUGGGGACACUGGACAGAUGCUACUGAAUUAAUCCGCUGAGGUAUCUCUGCAAUCAUUCUGUGCAGUACAUUCGAGCCAGAAACACGCCUUUCCCAUUGACCUCGAGUGUGACCAACAGGGAUGCAAGUCUUUGAGGCUGGUCGACUUUCCCACAUUUAAGAAUUCCCUAUUAAAAGGUGAAUGUAGGAGA